RNAcentral lists this ribosomal RNA (317 nucleotides) under Amblyomma nodosum. RNAcentral's name for it is "partial large subunit ribosomal RNA". The record is from RNAcentral. Lineage: Eukaryota; Metazoa; Arthropoda; Arachnida; Ixodida; Ixodidae.
UUUAAUUGAGUGCUAAGAGAAUGGAAAUACAGAAAAAUUCUUUCUUGAAUUCAAAAAUUGAAGUUAUUUUUAUAUGUGAAGAAACAAUAAUGAAAAUUAUUGACAAGAAGACCCUAAGAAUUUUUUUAAUUUAAUUAAAAAAUUUUUUAAUUAAAUUCUUUAAUUGGGGCGAUUAAUAAAAAUUAAAAACUUUGUUUUUUUAAAAAAGAACCAAUAAUAUUGGAAAUAUGAUAAAAAUACUCUAGGGAUAACAGCGUAAUAACUUUAGAUAGUUCAUAUAGACAAAGUAGUUUGCGACCUCGAUGUUGGAUUAGGAU